UCUGCAGGAGAGAGGUCAUUGCUGGCCCGCCGAAGGCGCAAACUCCCAUAAACGCUCAGGCACCCGGACUGCAGAA
RNAcentral lists this non-coding RNA (76 nucleotides) under uncultured Bermanella sp. Its description in RNAcentral is "Glycine riboswitch". It matches the Rfam family "Glycine riboswitch aptamer", at positions 7 to 88 of the family's 94-position model. From Rfam's summary of the family: This family represents the bacterial glycine riboswitch. Glycine riboswitches usually consist of two metabolite-binding aptamers domains with similar structures in tandem. Lineage: Bacteria; Pseudomonadati; Pseudomonadota; Gammaproteobacteria; Oceanospirillales; Oceanospirillaceae. The record is from RNAcentral.